AUACGGAAGGUGCAAGCGUUAAUCGGAAUUACUGGGCGUAAAGCGUGCGCAGGCGGUUUUGUAAGACAGGCGUGAAAUCCCCGGGCUCAACCUGGGAACUGCGCUUGUGACUGCAAGGCUAGAGUAUGGCAGAGGGGGGUGGAAUUCCACGUGUAGCAGUGAAAUGCGUAGAGAUGUGGAGGAACACCAAUGGCGAAGGCAGCCCCCUGGGCCAAUACUGACGCUCAUGCACGAAAGCGUGGGUAGC
This 247-nucleotide ribosomal RNA is filed under the name uncultured bacterium. RNAcentral's name for it is "partial 16S ribosomal RNA". It matches the Rfam family "Bacterial small subunit ribosomal RNA", at positions 523 to 769 of the family's 1533-position model. The record is from RNAcentral.